CUGUUCAUUCAAGCCUGAAUUGAAUGACGAUUUUGCCCUUGGUGGUUACGUGAAUUACAGUUGCCCAAUUUUUAUAUUUUGAGCAUCGUGUCGUUCAGCAGAAGAGACUGGAAACGCAAAGGGGAUAGGUGGUGGUUGGUCCUUUCACUAAUCGAAAGAAAGACUGAAGCGAGUAGAUCUUGCGUUCUUGGAAUCGAAAGAAGAAUAGAAAAGGUUUUUGAUUGAAGGUGUGUUUUCGGUCGAUGCAUAUGCUAUUGGCUAUUUGAAUUGGUGGUUUUUGUUGUGGUUAGGUUUUGAUUUAUUUGGGUUUUUCUAUGUUUUAGGGGUGGUUGAGGAUAGCUGGUAUUGCGCUUGAAAGAAAGAUUGAGGGGAGUAGAUUUCUUUUCUAUUAUAUAUGUUUUCAGAAAAUGGUGGCAUGAUGUUUUGGAAUAGGUAGAUUCAAGUGUACCUUCUUUAGGAGCAGAAAGUACAUACAAUUUAGAAAAAUGGAGAUUAAUAGUUUAUAGUGGUCAACAUGACCAUUGAAUCUGGAUUUUUUUUCUUCAGAGAUCCCUCUUAGCUGUGGGAUAUGCAGUUUCUCUUUUCAUUUGCGGAUUGAUUUGACUGUACUGACUACAAUUGGAACAAUUUUUUUUAACACAAAACUCAUAAACUUAAAUAAAAAUACCAGUACAUAUGUAUAAAUAGAAACAUCUAUUAGUUCAUUUACCAGUGGGCAAUAUUUGAUUCUAUCUGGGUGUACCUUUGAUUCUGUCUGGGUUCUUUUAUUUAAUAAUAUCAUAGAGCUCUAGCUUUAUUAAAUCGACAGUUAACUUCUCUUAGAGGAAAGACAGAGAGUUCAAGGUCUGCAUCAAGUGGGCAAACAAGCCCGACCUUUAUCAAGCAAUUUAAUUCCUAGAUGCUGUAUUUUCAAGCAAAGGGAAUGAAUUUGAUUUGGAGAAAUACUGAUGGACCAAGGGAUAUUGUUUAAUGUUUAUGAGCCAAACAAUAACAAUCUGAAGUUUGGACUGAAAGACUCAAAAGAAAUUGUAGACCAGCUCCAAUGGCAUGGGUUCUCUCAAGAAGAAUGUGGUAACAUUGAUAGAGUUGUUAACAUUGUGAAAAAACUUCAAAAAGCAAUAUGGUGAAGAUAAUGAAACUACUGGAGAGCAGAUAAAGACUCUAGAUAUAGCAGUACCUGAAGGUGGGAUUCACGUGAAGAUGGCAUUCGUUUAUGGGAAUGAUAGAGAACUUUUUGUUGCAUGCGAUUAUUUAGCUAUUUCACAUUCUUCUGUACACUGGAUUUGAAUAGCUUGAAUUCACUUUCAGAUUUAAUAUAUUAUGAUCUUGUUGAUGUU
Molecule: long non-coding RNA, 1337 nt
Organism: Rosa rugosa (rugosa rose)
Lineage: Eukaryota; Viridiplantae; Streptophyta; Magnoliopsida; Rosales; Rosaceae
Exons: 3
Source: RefSeq, a predicted model, not a curated record